RNAcentral lists this ribosomal RNA (900 nucleotides) under Sarocladium kiliense. RNAcentral describes it as "LSU rRNA". It matches the Rfam family "Eukaryotic large subunit ribosomal RNA", at positions 38 to 964 of the family's 3401-position model. Lineage: Eukaryota; Fungi; Ascomycota; Sordariomycetes; Hypocreales; Sarocladiaceae. The record is from RNAcentral.
GCAUAUCAAUAAGCGGAGGAAAAGAAACCAACAGGGAUUGCCUCAGUAACGGCGAAGUGAAGCGGCAACAGCUCAAAAUUUGAAAUCUGGCCGCAAGGUCCGAGUUGUAAUUUGUAGAGGAUGCUUUUGGCGAGGUGCCUUCCGAGUUCCCUGGAACGGGACGCCAUAGAGGGUGAGAGCCCCGUACGGUAGGACCACCAAGCCUCUGUAAAGCUCCUUCGACGAGUCGAGUAGUUUGGGAAUGCUGCUCUAAAUGGGAGGUGUACGUCUUCUAAAGCUAAAUACCGGCCAGAGACCGAUAGCGCACAAGUAGAGUGAUCGAAAGAUGAAAAGCACUUUGAAAAGAGGGUUAAAAAGUACGUGAAAUUGUUGAAAGGGAAGCAUUCAUGACCAGACUUGGGCUUGGUUGAACAUCCGGCGUUCUCGCCGGUGCACUCUGCCAGUCCAGGCCAGCAUCAGUUUGCCCCGGGGGAUAAAGGCGGCGGGAAUGUGGCUCCCUUCGGGGAGUGUUAUAGCCCGUCGUGUAAUGCCCUGGGGCGGACUGAGGAACGCGCUUCGGCACGGAUGCUGGCGUAAUGGUCAUCAAUGACCCGUCUUGAAACACGGACCAAGGAGUCGUCUUCGUAUGCGAGUGUUCGGGUGUCAAACCCCUACGCGUAAUGAAAGUGAACGUAGGUGAGAGCUUCGGCGCAUCACCGACCGAUCCUGAUGUUCUCGGAUGGAUUUGAGUAAGAGCAUACGGGGCCGGACCCGAAAGAAGGUGAACUAUGCCUGUAUAGGGUGAAGCCAGAGGAAACUCUGGUGGAGGCUCGCAGCGGUUCUGACGUGCAAAUCGAUCGUCAAAUAUGGGCAUGGGGGGCGAAAGACUAAUCGAACCUUCUAGUAGCUGGUUUCCGCCGA